UAGAUGUUAGGAAGAACUUCUUUACUGAGAGGGUUGUUAGGCACUGGAACAGGCUGCCCAGGGAGGUGGUGGAGUCACCAUCCCUGGAAGUCUUUAAAAGACGUUUAGAUGUCGAGCUUAGGGAUAUGGUUUAGUGGGGACUGUUAGUGUUAGGUUAGAGGUUGGACUCGAUGAUCUUGAGGUCUCUUCCAACCUAGAAAUUCUGUGAUUCUGUGAUUCUUCUCAGCUUAAAGAACAAAUGUCAUCCAUUAAUGAAGAAAAAGAGGAGCUAGAACAACUUCUUCAGGACACCAGGGCUGAGCGGGACCAGCUCAAGAUGGAAUUGCAAAAAACCUCUGAGAUGUCUAUUGAAACGAGUGCUAAACUGGAAUGUGCUCUAAGUAAACUGAAGGAGAGAAGCCUGAGUGAUGUGUCUGUUCAAGUGGAUGCACUGGAUAACACAGAACAGAUGGAUGAUGACAGCCUGAAGGCAAAAAUCAUGCGAAUUGAGAUUAAAUUAAACACAAGAUUAUUGGUCAAAAGCACUCAGACAAACAACUACAAGAAAACAACCCUACCUGCAAGAAAACAACAACCCCCUUGUGAUUAGCAGUCACGUAGACCUUGUCUUUGAAGCCAGAUGCUGGUGUCAGAAGUUCUGGCAGAAAUGGAAAGUCUGCAGGAAGAACUAAAGCAUCGUAAAGAGCAAGCUGAUAUUCAGAAGAACUUGAUAGCAGAAGCAGAAGAGAAACAGCAAAAGACUUGUAGCAAGCCAUGGGAUUUUUGCUGUUUCGAAAAAUCCCUCAACAAUUCCCCCCCCUUUUUUUCUUCUCUGAGCAAACCAAGCCUGAUGUAACAGUUUUGCAAGUAACCCUAUAACCACUUUUAUCACAAUACAACAUGCAAUGAUGAUUGACACCACAGCAAACAGAAUCCUUAAUCCCUCUUUGACUAAUCCCAGUAACCAUCUAUGCAUCGUUUCAAACAAAUCAGUGAACCACUGAUUGAAAGGAUUGAUACCAUAUUGAAUCUUUCUCAUGUGCUCUUUCAGGAAAGUAAUGGAUUUGUGAAUUGACUCAUUCUGAUCAAAAAGGUUUAAACAGCACAUUUGCUCAGAGUCCCCACCCCCAUGGCUUUGAGCCAAAAGCAAGAUGUCAAUAGCAGCUUGAUCCUGUAAAAGCACAUGUCGCAGACUAUUUUGAUCUGGUAACAUCUCCUCGAGUAUCUCUGUCGGGGCAUGGGCUUGCUUCUCAGCCCAGCAUACCAAUUUUUCUAAGCUCUUAAUUGCGGCCACAGAUGCCACUUCUGGCACUAAAAUUGCCAAUGCCGCUCUAGCUGCAACACCAAGCAGUUCAACAUUAUCAUUGCAAUCCGGUGCUAGCAAUGCCCGUUUAUGUCUGGUGAUCUCACACAACUGUGACAAGCUAGGAGCAAAUAUGGUGAGUUUAUCUAAGUAACAUGGACAUCUGACAGCAUUUGCAGGGAUACCCUGCCAGGCCCUAUCCCCGCAAAUCAGAAGAACAUCAGGAGGUAAGGCCAAAGCUGUACAAUUGUUCCAAACACUGUAGUUGUUACCCCUUGUCUCCGUGCCAUAAGCCCCUAAACCCUGCCUAGCAGUGUCAUUGUAAUCCCAGGUGUUAUUUGUAUUUCUGUACCUGUAUGGCCCUUUCCAGGUUCCUGUAGCAGGAUCUCGGUAAUUCAUUCUUAUUCGUGGUAACACGUUUGGUGCUACUCUAUUUAUUCUUUGAAAAUGAAUACUUGCAGGAGGGUCUUCUGGUCCCCAGUCAAACAUAAGUGAUUCAAGACACCCAAUGCCUCGGACAAUCGUUCAUCGAUGUUCUUGAUCUCUUUUAAUCUCACUAAUUGUUCCUUUAAAACCUGAUGUGAUUGUUCAACCAUCACUUGGCCUGUGGGAGAAAAUGGAACACUCGUUUUAGGCUGAAUCUGUAGGAAAAUCCAUUCCAGAACUCGAAAAUGCUGCCCUAUCAUUCCACCCUUGCCAUCACCUGUGUCACUUAUACUACUCCUAUUACCCGUGCUGUUAGUGUCAGUGGCAUCCUCCUGGUACCGUUUCUGUCGCCCCUUACUCUCCCCCUUUUCUUUUUGCCACUGACCAUUCACCACAACUGGAUGAGACACAUGAUUGCUAAUUAGGAAAGAGAGCGUAACGUCUGCUAGACGGCUGCAGGCAGUGCCGGCUGCAGCCUUAGAAGCUGUUUGUGACAGAGCCUGCCGGUGGGCAUUUGGCAGUGUGAUCCGUGGCUCUGCACUCCUGCCCCGCAAUAAAGGCAGUAAUAGAGCUAAGUCGUCAUGAGUAAUCCGCACAACAUGGCAACCCCACGGAAUGUAAUCCAGGAACAUAGUUAUACCACCGAUCUGGGGACAAAUAGUCUUUUUUGCAGUGCAAGACACGCCUCUCAUAAACAGAAUGCCAGAGCGAAGCAGCACAGCCAGCCCUGCCUCCACGGUCACGUCAGACAGGCUGCAGGGUCCUGAUCUCUGCCCCUCUGUGUGCCGACUCGCCACACGGUGAGGGUCGGCUGCCGGUGUCCACUGACGCCUCUGGUCUCCCGUAGCAACUCGAUCCCGGCUGUCCCGCAUCCCCCCACGAUUGCUUUGUUUCCCUGCAUUUUUAUUUUUAGUUUUCCCCCACGUCUCACCGCGUGUCCUGUGUCCGGGUUGGUGCUUGGAGUUUCUCAGUGUCUCUCGGGUGUUGCGGCUUCUGUCGGCUCUCCGUGUCUCUCAGAGCCGUCCAUGUCUCUGAAGCAUCUCUCAGGGCUCUCUGUGCCUCUGAAGUCUCUCCGUGUGUCUCAGGUCUCUCAGCUUCUCUCAGGGCUCUCCGUGUCUCUGAAGCCUCUCUGUUUCUGUCAGCAUCUGUCAGAUCUCUGCGUGUCAGUCUCAGCCUGUUCGGGCCCCAUACGUUGCAGGAAGCACGGCCGAAAGCAUGACAGACACCAGAAUGGUCAGAUCAUGCUCCAUUUUAGUGCCCGAAUAGCCUGACUUUUCUAGUGAACUUAAACGGGAGGAUAGUGUCUCACACAAGAUUAUUGGUCAAACGCACUCAGACAGACAACUACAAGAAAACAACCCCACCUGCAAGAAAACAACCCCCUUGUGAUUAGCAGUCACGUAGACCUUGUCCUUGAAGCCAGCUGCUGGCAACAAUAUUUCUCUAAAUUCCUCACUUGGGCGAUGUGGGAACACUGUCAUGGGAACUUGGUUUGCUCAGCUGCAGCAAGCCCUGGGAUCUUUGCUGUUUCAGAAAUCCCUCAACACUUCCUUGAAUCACCACAUAAUUUUGGAAGCUUUUUUUUAACCUAACAAUCAUUUUUAAUGAAUAUUUGACACACUAAUUCUUUGAAGCUUUUAAAAAUAAAGGUUAGUAUAGUCACUCACCAAAAGAUCUCAACCAGCUUGUUGGGUUUACUGACCUUUGGAAAAAGGAAGUUUUACGCUCAUUUGUUUUGCUAUGCUUGUUGGGAGUUGUAGUCUAACUGAGAAGUUUCUCUACACCAACGCAGCUUCGUGUUGAAACACCAAGAUGCUGCCAUCUAGUGAAACUCAAGAUUUCCAGUGGGAUUUUCUCCUGCACAGGUUAGGAAUAAAAGAGGGUCAUGAACAUUAGCUAUCCAUUCCCCCAUAAAGAAUGCAAGAGAUUAACAGGAUUCUCACCAAAAAAGGCCACGACAAUGUUCUUCCCCAAGCAAUUGCUCUUUAU
Molecule: long non-coding RNA, 3697 nt
Organism: Cairina moschata (Muscovy duck)
Lineage: Eukaryota; Metazoa; Chordata; Aves; Anseriformes; Anatidae
Source: Ensembl